RNAcentral lists this ribosomal RNA (433 nucleotides) under uncultured bacterium. Its description in RNAcentral is "partial 16S ribosomal RNA". It matches the Rfam family "Bacterial small subunit ribosomal RNA", at positions 29 to 507 of the family's 1533-position model. The record is from RNAcentral.
AACGAACGCUGGCGGCAUGCCUAACACAUGCAAGUCGAACGAGACCUUCGGGUCUAGUGGCGCACGGGUGCGUAACGCGUGGGAACCUUCCCUUAGGUUCGGACUAACUCCCCGAAAGGGGUGCUAAUACCGGAUAAUGUCUUCGGACCAAAGAUUUAUCGCCUUUGGAUGGGCCCGCGUUGGAUUAGCUAGUUGGUAGGGUAAAAGCCUACCAAGGCGACGAUCCAUAGCUGGUCUGAGAGGAUGAUCAGCCACACUGGGACUGAGACACGGCCCAGACUCCUACGGGAGGCAGCAGUGGGGAAUAUUGGACAAUGGGCGAAAGCCUGAUCCAGCUAUGCCGCGUGAGUGAUGAAGGCCUUAGGGUUGUAAAGCUCUUUUACCCGGGAUGAUAAUGACAGUACCGGGAGAAUAAGCCCCGGCUAACUCCGUG